CUGGCAGUUAGUAGGCCAGGAGCUGAGUGGGAUGAUAACAGGAGACCAGGGCCAUUCAAGGGGAGCACUGUCUCUAAGUGGAUCCCCUGCUAAGGAGGUGUGCCAUCAUGCGGGUUUCAAGUCAUCCAGAGCAGGGUGGAAGUGAACUGAACUCUGAUGACGAAUUCCUUGGGCUUCCUUUGCUGACUUCGCCACCUCAGUUUAUCGCCGGACAUUUGGAAGAUUUGGAAGAUGCCCUCCUGUGUCCUGACCUUCCACCUGCCUACCACACUGAUGACAGCGAAGACCACAGCAGUGAGGACAGUGAGGGUGGCCAUUCUGAUGACAGCAAUGACAAGCAUGGCAGCAGGCAUGAUGACAGUGACUAUCACAGCCAGGAUGAUCACACCAAUGAUGUCUACAGCAAAGGCUAUGUCAAACUGCAAGAACAAGGAAUGUGCACAGCUUGCUGUCACCUUUGCAAUAUGCAAACUAAGUGGGAACUCAGCCACAGAAAAGCCACAGAGAGAAGAGGAAAGGCUGUAGAAAUGAAAGCAAAGGAGCUAGAAGUGUACCACGAGUGUGAAGCAAGAUGUCAAUGGAAAGAUCGUGAAGCAUUAUUUUCAGGCUCUGUUUUUCAUGAAGGGGUCACCAUGUCAGUGUCGGGUCUCCCAGAGAGCAGUGGACAGGACACGAGUUCUGAUGAAGGAGGCCUCAUGUCCCCCCAGUUUGUGCCAGGACAAUUGGAAGAUUUGGAAGAUGCCCUUCUGUGUCCCAAGCUCCAACCUGAUGUGGACAUGGAUAUGGAAGAAGAGGGAUUCGCUUUGCUGGAUGCGUGGAGUUAGA
This 825-nucleotide long non-coding RNA is filed under the name Phascolarctos cinereus (koala). RNAcentral's name for it is "lncRNA (ENSPCIG00000035252.1)". Lineage: Eukaryota; Metazoa; Chordata; Mammalia; Diprotodontia; Phascolarctidae. The record is from RNAcentral.